ACUGAGUCUGGUGUGUGUUUGCACACUUUUGGUUGUGUCUUCAUUCGUUCUGUUUAAAGUAAAAAACUGGCCCACCACCUGCAAGCUGCCAGUUUCUGUGUCUUAUCACACGAGGAAGACAUCGACUCAAGUUGUUGACGAGUAUGUGAAAAUGAACUCUGUCGGCCUUAUAAACUCUCCCAUGACUCAAAGUGAUAAGGGUUCAGCGCUCGAGGACUUCCGC
This is a long non-coding RNA of Puntigrus tetrazona (Sumatra barb), 223 nucleotides long. RefSeq lists it as uncharacterized. The transcript is spliced from 3 exons. Lineage: Eukaryota; Metazoa; Chordata; Actinopteri; Cypriniformes; Cyprinidae. The record is from RefSeq and is a predicted model, not a curated record.